Rhagoletis zephyria (snowberry fruit fly) is the source of this 727-nucleotide long non-coding RNA. RefSeq lists it as uncharacterized. NCBI's taxonomy places the organism in Eukaryota, Metazoa, Arthropoda, Insecta, Diptera, Tephritidae. The record is from RefSeq and is a predicted model, not a curated record.
GUUUGUAUAUUUUAAAACUGGUUUUCUUGCUCAAAACAAUAAAGGUCAAUAGAAAACUAAAAAUUUGUAUUAUAAAAUGCCGACUUUGGCAUGGUCUCUACUUGAAACUACAUACCUUCAAAUGUUUUUCCACUGUCUCAUAUGAAAAGUUGAAAGCUUCGAAGGUUUCGCCAUUUGGGAACUGUCUAAGGUUUUUCCCAAUAAAACAGGUUUUUUAAACUUCUUACUAUUUGUUUUAUGGAAUUUUUGACUUCUUCUAUAAAUAAUAACGAGUAGCCGGCUUCAAUUCCACUAUUGAGGUAAGAGUAGAACUCCACACUUAGCUUUUUAAGCGUUUUCGAUUUCAGCGUUUACACCGCAAUAUAAAGCUUUUAGCUGUAUAAAGUGCUGAAAACCUGAUUAGCGGUGAACGCUUGUAAAGCCUCCUAGAGUAGAACUCCACAAACGGUUCAUUCAACUAUGAGAUUUAUAAGCUAAGUUGAAGUUUUUAAGACAUUCAGCGCUCUUCAAGCUUUCAGUGCUUUUCAAGCUUUCAGCGCUGUAUUCAGCUACGAGUGUUAUUAGCUGAAUUGAAAAUUUUCAGGCAUUGGGCGUCUUUCAGCCAUACAGCGCUUUUUUCAGCUAUGAGUCUUAUAAGCUGAAUUGAACGCUGAAGAUCUGAAAAGCACUAAAAGUGUGAAAAGUUUGAUUUGGAGAUCUACUCUAAAUAUUUAGCGCUCAAAAUCAU